UACCAGCACCCCGAGUGGUCGGGACGUUUAUUGGGCCUAAAGCAUCCGUAGCCGGUUCUACAAGUCUUCCGUUAAAUCCAUCUGCUUAACAGAUGGGCUGCGGAAGAUACUAUAGAGCUAGGAGGCGGGAGAGGCAAGCGGUACUCGAUGGGUAGGGGUAAAAUCCGUUGAUCCAUUGAAGACCACCGGUGGCGAAGGCGGCUUGCCAGAAUGCGCUCGACGGUGAGGGAUGAAAGCUGGGGGAGCAAACCGG
This 253-nucleotide ribosomal RNA is filed under the name uncultured bacterium. RNAcentral's name for it is "partial 16S ribosomal RNA". It matches the Rfam family "Archaeal small subunit ribosomal RNA", at positions 474 to 727 of the family's 1478-position model. The record is from RNAcentral.